This 365-nucleotide ribosomal RNA is filed under the name Bacillus sp. SL-3. RNAcentral's name for it is "bacterial SSU rRNA". It matches the Rfam family "Bacterial small subunit ribosomal RNA", at positions 999 to 1365 of the family's 1533-position model. The record is from RNAcentral. Lineage: Bacteria; Bacillati; Bacillota; Bacilli; Caryophanales; Bacillaceae.
CCUAGAGAUAGGGCUUCUCCUUCGGGAGCAGAGUGACAGGUGGUGCAUGGUUGUCGUCAGCUCGUGUCGUGAGAUGUUGGGUUAAGUCCCGCAACGAGCGCAACCCUUGAUCUUAGUUGCCAUCAUUAAGUUGGGCACUCUAAGGUGACUGCCGGUGACAAACCGGAGGAAGGUGGGGAUGACGUCAAAUCAUCAUGCCCCUUAUGACCUGGGCUACACACGUGCUACAAUGGACGGUACAAAGAGCUGCAAGACCGCGAGGUGGAGCUAAUCUCAUAAAACCGUUCUCAGUUCGGAUUGUAGGCUGCAACUCGCCUACAUGAAGCUGGAAUCGCUAGUAAUCGCGGAUCAGCAUGCCGCGGUGA